This 244-nucleotide long non-coding RNA is filed under the name Nicotiana benthamiana. RNAcentral's name for it is "long non-coding RNA (NBEN_LNC021080)". Lineage: Eukaryota; Viridiplantae; Streptophyta; Magnoliopsida; Solanales; Solanaceae. The record is from RNAcentral.
AUGUUAGCUUUAUGCCUCUGCCAAAAAAUGCCUCUUGGGUUGUUAGAAAGAUUCUGGACUGCAGGAUUGAUGUUAUGGAGAACCAACAGUUGCAAGGCAAUCUCUUUAGCAGAUUGAAAUCAAUGUGCAAACUGGACAAGUUUCAAAUCCAAAAGCUAUACCUUACAAUGUUGCCUAAUUACAAUAAGGUAGUUUGGAGGAAUGUGAUGCUGACUGUUAAUGUACAGCCUAGACACAAAUUCAC